CCUACGGGAGGCAGCAGUGGGGGAUAUUGCACAAUGGGGGAAACCCUGAUGCAGCGACGCCGCGUGAGUGAAGAAGGAUUUCGGUAUGUAAAGCUCUAUCAGCAGGGAAGAAAAUGACAGUACCUGACCAAGAAGCCACGGCUAACUACGGGCCAGCAGCCGCGGUAAUACGGAGGGGGCAAGCGUUAACCGGAUUUACUGGGUGUAAAGGGAGCGUAGACGGUAAUGUAAGUCUGGGGUGAAAGCCCGGGGCCCAACCCCGGGACUGCUUUUGAAACUGGGUAACUGGAGUGCGGGAGGGGCAGGUGGAAUUCCUGGUGUAGCGGUGAAAUGCGUAGAUAUCAGGAGGAACAUCGGCGGCGAAGGCGGCCAGCUGGACUGAAACUGACGUUGAGGCUCGAAAGCGUGGGGAGCAAACAGGAUUAGAUACCCCAGUAGUC
Molecule: ribosomal RNA, 440 nt
Filed under: uncultured bacterium
Lineage: Bacteria
Description: partial 16S ribosomal RNA
Rfam family: Bacterial small subunit ribosomal RNA
Source: RNAcentral